Molecule: non-coding RNA, 979 nt
Organism: Parasteatoda tepidariorum (common house spider)
Lineage: Eukaryota; Metazoa; Arthropoda; Arachnida; Araneae; Theridiidae
Source: RefSeq, a predicted model, not a curated record
UGAACAUCAUUGAUUAUUUUAAAAAGAACUUCAAUAAAUACAUAUUUUUCAAAAAUUAUUUUAGAAAGAAUUGCAAUUUAUAUAUUAGGAAGUUUUAAAGGGCAAUCGAAUGAAUAGGAAAGCUUAAUCCGAGGUGCUUUUUGGGAACAUUGAAUUCCUCACGAUCACUCAAGUGCUUAAUAUUUUUAAAUGUAAAAUAAUUAAACUGAAAUCUUAAGAAAACAAAUAAAUUUUCGUAUGUAAACCCUGUUAUAUUUUUUAAAAUAAAUUAUUUUUUAGGCAGACACUGUUGGAACUUGCUUCUAUGAAAUUGAUUUCUCCUAAAACUUAUUUAUCACUAUGCCACUGAUAGUAAUAUGAGUUGCCCUUCACGAUUGGAAAACUUAUGGUGAAAUGAGGAGCUUAGCUUUAUAUAAGUAUCGCUUAGAAGCUGUCAUUGCCCACCUUUCUAGUCAAAAUUUAGAACAGGUUUGUUUUAAAAUUUCAACAUUUUUUAUGCUUAAAUCGUUAUUUUAGGGUUUAGAUGUUCUUGAAAUUAUGAGGAAUACUCAUUUAAAAUUUGUAUCCAAACUCUCUCUCUACCGCUACGAUUUCUAUAAUCAGGUGAAGCUUCUUCACUAUUUCAAUGUACACAUUAUUUAAUCAUUUCAUUAUUCAUCUUAAUCUUGAAUUAAUGUAACAUUUUCUUAAGAGUUAUAGUCAUCAUUAUAACUCUAUUUUACAUAUUUUAUUUUAUAUCCGUCGUUUAACAGCCGACCCAAUUUUCUGUUUAUGACUGCUAAUGUUCAACUCCAUAGCAUUGUAAUUUUAAACCAAUGCAGAAGACAAGGAAACUCCUAGAUCAGUACCCACAGAGGUAUUGAUUUGUUAAGGGAACACAGUAUUAUUCCAUAUGUGUACUUGAAUAUUGUAUAAUGCUUCAAAAAAGCAUACCAGAAGCAUUUCACUCAAUAAAACAUAUUGAUGAUCCAUCGAAAAA